RNAcentral lists this transfer RNA (72 nucleotides) under Camelus bactrianus (Bactrian camel). It matches the Rfam family "tRNA". From Rfam's summary of the family: Transfer RNA (tRNA) molecules are approximately 80 nucleotides in length. Their secondary structure includes four short double-helical elements and three loops (D, anti-codon, and T loops). The record is from Rfam by way of RNAcentral. Lineage: Eukaryota; Metazoa; Chordata; Mammalia; Artiodactyla; Camelidae. RNAcentral also lists the same sequence under 1 other name.
GAGAGUGUAGCUCAGUGGUAAAGUGUAUGCUUCGCAUGCAUUAAGUCCUGGGUCCAAUCCCCAGUACCUCCA